GAGGGUAUAGCUCAGUGGUAGAGUGCAUGCUUAGCAUGCAUGAGGCCCUGGGUUUAAAAACCCAGUACCUCCA
This 73-nucleotide transfer RNA is filed under the name Camelus bactrianus (Bactrian camel). It matches the Rfam family "tRNA". Rfam says of the family: Transfer RNA (tRNA) molecules are approximately 80 nucleotides in length. The record is from Rfam by way of RNAcentral. RNAcentral also lists the same sequence under 2 other names. Lineage: Eukaryota; Metazoa; Chordata; Mammalia; Artiodactyla; Camelidae.